GGCCGCGCUGAGAGUCACGUGGUGCGCCAGGAAGCCGCCUAGCUUCUUGGAGAGCUCACUGCCUCGCUCCGCUCCUUUCCUGGCGGGAGGCUCUGAGCCACCCCCACCUGCGCAGGGCGGCCAGGGGUUAAAACAAAGUCACAAGUCUGACCCACACUCAAAGGGAGAAGAUUAUGCAAGAGCAAAAGCACGAGAUGGAAACCAUGGGGCCAUCUUAUAGUCUGUCUGCCGGAGAAAGAUGAACACAAAUCCUGCCUAGCUUCAUCAAUGUCCAGCCUCCAGAGGGCCUUCCCAGGAGGGUAGGCAUUAAUGCAAGCAAGUGGUGGUCUGCAUAGCUGAGCAGAGUCUGCUGUGUUUCUGAUAAAUUGUGAAGAGCCAUAGACCUUUGCCUAAUGAAGGGCCUCAAGCUCCUGCUGGACAUUGUAAACUGCUAGGAGAAGCUGAGUGAAUAUUAUCAAAUGCCUUAACAAGUGGAGUUGAGGCACCAUGAUCCAUAAGAGAUGAUGUGAAUGAACAGUCCUGUAAAUGUGAGAGGAGCCCUGCCCCACUCCUUCCCAGAAGCAGCCGGCUACCUGAGUGCUUCCUGAGAUGUCUGUCUGCUUGUCACGAAGAGGAAGUCAGAACAUCCUUACUCUAAAUAACAUUGCAAUUUUGCAGAUAGGUGUGAGAUACGAUUUCUAGCAUUUUCCAAAUUCUUCUGCCUGGAAAACAAAGCCUGUUUGCAACUAUUUGGACGUAUUUAAGAGUAAUUUUUCCACUUGGGUUUGUUUGUUAAUUUGGAAUAUUUCUGACAAAUAGCGUUCUGUGUGAUGAUGGACAUGUCCUGUAUCUGUGCUGUGCAACACAAUCACCGCUAGACAUGUAGCCAUUGAGCACUUGAAUUGUGUGUUCUGUAACUGAGGAAUUUCAUGUUUAAUUGUAUAUAGUCUUAAGUACUUUAUUAAUAGACCCAUAGUUGUUGCUCUAGGUAAGGUGGAAUAAGCAUGUAUAUCCCUGUUCUCCCAGUAUAUGUAGCUAUAAAAUCCAGACAGAAAGAAGCUAUUCAAGGACUCUGAAAAGUAACUAGAAAUAAUUUGCAAGAGAACAGCAUUCGAAUUAUCAAACCAUUGGUACAUUUACUGUUUUUUAUCUCCAGUAUUCCUCAGCAAUGACAGAAGUGAGCACUGGGACAGAGAGAGAGUUCCAGGAGAAAUCCUCUAGUCUAGCAUGAAGAGUGAGAAAAGGGUCUCGCAAUGCUUGAGUGUGGGGAGAGAAAUACCCUGACUUUUAUUUCUGUUUUCCUGUGCCCAGCCUGCAGUGGCCCAAGAGCUUUUCUCUCUGAUCAGAGAGCAAUGGCACCAACAGGUAGGGGUAAUCAUCCAUUAAACUUUGUCCUCUUGCUGGCUGGUGCUGGACUUGAGCACAGCUGCAGAAAGUGAGCAGCAGAGUGAGGAAACAAAACUUCCAUCUUUCUGUUCAGAAGACUAAAAAGAGGAUCUCGAGAAAAUGAUAAAGUAAUGGCAUGAAUGUGGAGAGGAAGGAAUGCACGAAAUCUACAUAACAAAGUUGUUUAUAAACUCCUAGGCUCCACUCUGAGCUGCACUUGCAUGAACCUGACAUACACAGAUUCUGAGAACUAAACUAUAGGAUAGACCACUGCCCAUGUCCCAGAUUGGCUAGUGAUGGGGACCACAUAGGGAAUAUUCAAAUAGCACUGCAAAGGCAUUGCCAUCAAAGCCCAAAUCCACAGAAAGUUAGUCAAAACUUGUGGCCUGAGCAAAAUUGGGUGGAUUGCCUGCUAAAACAAAAUUAUCAGUAUUGUCUAUAGGAUAUAAACAAGAGCCAGUAUCUAAUAACAUAACAUUAAAAAUGUUGAAGAUACAAUUCGAAAUCACUCACCAGGAAACUUGGAAUUUAUGUGGAAAAAGGUAAUUUAAAAAAAGACAAUGCCAAGAUGACACAGGUAUUGAAAUUUUCUAAAAAAGACUUUAAAGCAGCUAUUAUAAAAAUCCUUCAGAAAUAAGAGGAAACACUCUUCUAAUGAACAGAAUUAGAAAAUACAAAGGAGAAUCAAAUUGAAAUUUUUAAACUGAAACACGAUAACUGAAAUUAAAAACUCACUGGAUGGGCUCAAUAGGCAAACAAAAAUGACAAAGAAGAGUCAGUGAGCUUCACCAUAGUUCAGCAAAAAUUGUCCAGUUAAAACAACAGAAGGAAACAAAGAUUGACCAAAAAACAAUGAAUAAAGUCACAGAAAACCAUUGGACAGUACCAAUAGCUCUAAUGAUUCCAGAAGGAGAGGAGAGGGAAUGCAGAAGGCAGUACACAUACACGUAUAUGUGCGCAUGCGCACGCACACACACAAAUAUAUUAGCUGAAAAUUUUACAAAUUUAGCAAAAAAUAUGAACCUACGGGUUGGAGAAGCUUAUGAUCUCUAAACAAAAGCCUCCACUCUUCAUAACGGCAAAGUCAUGGAAUCAACCUAAGUGUCCAUCAACAGUUAACUGGAUAAACAAAAUGUUCUAUGUAACUGUAAACAAAAAUGAAAUCCCAUCAUAAAGCUGAUACUCCUUAUAAUCAAGACAGUUAUUAAGAAUCUAGGUUUAAAAUAUAUAAAUCUAGGUUUAUUCAUGAAAUUCAACCUCACUUGGUUUCCUUUAUCAGCUUAUUAUUGGUUUUAAUUUCCCUGCCCAGUAAUCCCAUCACUGUAUUUUAACUUCUUUUUCCUGCUACCCAUUGCUGGAGAUAGGGGAUGGGGGGCAGCCAGCCAAGUGUGGAAUGCAGCAAAACCAUUCAGAGUAGACAAAAUUGACAAAAAUUGUGAAAGCAAAUAAUGUGACAGCCUCAGAAUCCUGACCUUUAGAACUUGAAACCAAUAAACAUGAGUUCUUUUGUAUUAUGGGUAAAAAAAAGAAAUGUUGUUGUAUAUAUACACCAUGCAAUACUAUGCAACCCUAAAUGGAAGGAAAUUAUGUCCUUUGCAGCAACAUGGAUAGAGCUAGAGGCCAUUAUCCUGAGUGAACUAACUCAGAAACAGAAAAUCAACUACCACAGGUUCUCACGUAUAAGUGGGAGCUAAACAGGAGGUAUAUAUAGUGAUAUGGUUUGUCUGUGUCCCCACCCAAAUCUCAUCUUGAAUUGUAGCUGCUGUAACUCCCCCAUAUGGUGGAAGUGACCUAGUGGGAGAGAAGCGCAUGAUGGGGGCAGUUCCCUUCACACUGUUCCAGUGGUAGUGAAUAUGUCUCAUGAGAUCUGAUGGUUUUAUAAAUGGGAGUUCCUCUGCACAAGCUCUCUCUUGCCCACCACCAUGUAAGAAGUCCCUUUGCUCUUCCUUCAUCUUCUGCCAUGAUUGUGAGGCCUCCCCAGCCAUGUGGAACUGUGAGUCCAUUAAACCUCUUUCCUUUAUUAAUUACCCAGUCUUGGGUAUGUCUUUAUUAGCAGCAUGAGAAUGGACUAACACACAUAGACAUAGAGAUGCAAAUAAUAGACACUGGAAACCUCAAAAGGGAAAGUUGGGAGGGUGGCGAAGGUUGAAAAAAGAUCUACUGUGUGCAAUGUUCACUAUUUGGAUAAUGAGUAUACUAGAAGCUUAAUCUCUGCCAGUAUGUAAUAUACUCGUUUAACAAACAUGCCUUGUACCCCCUGAAUCUAAGAUAAAAUUUUAUUAAAAAAAAGAAAAGCCCUAAGAAAUUCACAGCCACACACAUCAUCAUCAAACUGCUAAAAGCUAAAGACAAGAAAAAAAAUUUUGAAGGUAGCCAGGGAAAAAUGGCACAUUACUUCCAUGGGGAAAUCAAUGAUUCAAGUGCCUGUUGAUUACUCAUAAAAAAUAAAAGGAUACCAGAAGGAGGUGGAACAUACUUAAGGUAUUUAAAAUAUUGGAAGAUUUUUGUUUUGUUUUGUAAAGUACAAUAAUUUAGGAGUUCUAUAUCUAGGGAUCAUCCAGGAAUAGAAGUACAAUAGGCUGGGUGCAGUGGCUCAUGCAUGUAAUCCCAACACUUUGGGAGGCCCGGGCAGGUGGAUCAUUUGAGGUCAGGAGUUUGAGACCAGCCUGGCCAAUAUGAUAAAACCCCAUCUCUACUAAAAAAUACAAAAAUUAGCCAGGGCGCAGUAGCUCACACCUGUAAUCCUAGCACUUUGGGAGGCCAAGGUGGGCGAAUCACCUGAAGUCAGGAGUCCAAGACCAGCAAGGCCAACAUGGCGAAACCCCGUCUCUAUUAAAAAUACAAAAAUUAGCCGGGCGGGGUAGCACGUGCCUGUAGUCGCAGCUACUCGGGAGGCUGAGACAGGAGAAUUGCUUGAGCCUGGGAGGUGGAGGUUGCCAUGAGCCAAGAUUGUGCCACUGCACUCCAGCCUGGCCAGAUAACAGAGCAAGACUCCAUCUCCAAAACAAACAAACAAAAAAAAAUUAGCCAAGAAAGGUGGCAUGCACCUGCAAUAUCAGCUACUCGGGAGGCUGAGGCAGGAGAAUCGUUUGAACCCAGAGGUGCAGAUUGCAGUGAGUCAAGAUCAUGGCACUGCACUCCAGCCUGGGCAACAAAGCGAGACUCCAUCUCAAAAAAAAAAACAAAGUACAAUAAAAGAAAUUCAGCAGGUGACGGAAAAAUAAAACAGUUUGUUCAAAAAAGAUUGGAAGAGAGCUCUUCUGAAAAAAUAGAAAUUAUUCCAAGAGGAAGCAGAAUACCAGAAAGGAAGGAAGAACAGAAAUGUCAAUUAUGUAGGUAAAUAUAAUAUUUACCUAAAUACCUAAAAAUAAAUAUUUACCUAAAUACUACCUAAAUACCUAAAAAUAAAUAUUUACCUAAAUACCUAAAAUUUACUAAAAAUAUUUUUGAGAGCUGAAAAAAAGUUAUAGUAUCGUCUCAUGGAAUUUUUUUAUCUAUCUAGAUAUAAUAAAUACUUAUACAAUAAAAGCAGGAGAAUAGAGAGGCCUGCAGGGCGAAAGAAUGUCUACAUCACAUCUGAAGUCGCAAAAUAGUCAUUCUAGGCAGACUAUAAAAAGUUGAGCACUUUUAUUGCAACUCCUAAAGUUAUCACUGAUAGAUAAAUACAGUUUAUUUUUUAAGGAAAGGGAAAAUAAUAUAGGUCAGAAAUUUGGAUCAAAAAGAAGAGCAUCAAAGAAGGAUUAAAUGAAGUACAACGUAAAUAUGAAAAGUAAUAUUGAUUAAAACACAUAAAAGAAUGGAAAAAGAUAAUACCAUAUGGACACUAAUCAAAAGAAAUCUAGAGUGGCUAUAUUAAUAUCACACAAAGUAAACUUCAGAGCAAAGAAAAUUGCCAAGUUAUAGAUGGAGAAAAACCUCAAUUCACUAACAUAAUAAUCCUAAAUGUUUAUGGUUUUGUUUUGUUUAUAGUUUUGUUUCUCUGGAGAACCUUGACUAAUACAACACAAAUUACUAAGUCUAGUUUCUUCCCAGAAUGCAAGGUUGUUUUCAUAUUAGAAUAUCAGUGAAAUACACAGUACUAACAGUUUAAUAAAGAAAAAAAUAUUUUAACAAUUGGGGCAGAAAAAAAUCAGCUGACAAAAUGUCAAGAUCAAUCAAUCAUUAAAAACUAUUAAUUAACUUGGAAUAAAAGGGAACUUCCUCAAACCUAAUGAAGUGCAUCUAUGAAAAACCUACAGCUAGCACCAUACUUAAUGGCAAAAGAUUGAAUGUGUUCCCAUUAACGAGAUGAAAAAAAUUCAAAAAUGUCUGCUGUCUACUUCCAUCCCUCCUAUUCAACAUUGUUCUAGAAGUUUUAACCAGUGUAGUAAGACAUAAAAAAUAAAUAAAAGGCUUUCAUAUUGGACAGCAAGAGAUUAAAGUGGCCUCAUUUGUAGACAACAUAAUUUAUCUCUACAGAAAAUUUCAAACAGUCUACUAAAAAACUUCUACCUAUAAUAAAUGAGUUUAGCAGAGUUUAACUUUAGCAAAAGUAUAAGUGCAAUAUAUACACAGUAUAUACACAACUGCAUGUCUAUAUUCUAGCAACGAACAAGUGAAAAUUGAAGUUUUUGAAAUACCAUUUGCUAUAGUUUCAAACAGAAUAAAAUACUAAGCUAUAAAACUAACAAAACGUGUACAGGAUCUGUAUGUUGAAAACUGUAAAACUGAUGAAAUAAAUCAACAAAGACCUUUUAAAAAAAAGAAAGACAUACUGUGUUAUGGAAAAUAAUAUUUAACCAAGAAAAUGCUGAUUAUUCCCAUAGAUUCAAUGCAAUUUCAUUCAAAAUCAAAACAGGAGCUUUUACAGACACUAGCAAAUGAAUUAUAAAAUUGGUAUGAAAAGGCAAAGAAAUGAGAAUAAUAAUUCAAAAAUGUAAAAAAGAAUAAUGAGGUUGUAGAACACAUAUUCUUCCAUUUUCAGGUGUACUAUAAUGCUUCAAUAAUCUUGAGAGGGUGGUCUUGGUGAAAGGAUAGAAAUAUAUAUCAAAAGAUCAGGAUAGAAAGUUGAGAGAUAGAUCCAUCCAAAUACAUAUGGCCAUUUUAGACAAGGGUACAAUAGGCAAUUCAAUGGAAAAAUGAUAAUGACUCUUCAACAAACAGCAUUAGACACUGGAGAUCUAGAAACUCCUAAAAUUGAAUUAUAUUAUAACAACCAAAACUAAUUCAUUAUAGGUUUGAUUGUAAUGACAGUUUGUGCCCUGCCAAAUAAAACAGCACAUUUUAAAAGUAUGUAUGUUUGUCUUAAAAGUUAAAAAAAAUUUUGCAUUGUAAAAAAAAAGUAUAAAUGUGUGUAUAUGUGUUUAUAUUCUUUUUUAGAUAAAAGCACCAGAAAUUUUAUUUGCCCAAUUUUCAAAUGGUACUUUAGUCCAAGGGAAAUUUUUUGUGAUUUUUGACUAAUGCAAUCAACUAUCCAAUGAAUGCAGGUAAUAAAGUGUACCCAUGGUCACGUUGUAUAGCUUUUAUCUAAAUCAUCAUGAUUUAGGCUGGGUUCAGUGGCUCAGGCCUGUAAUCUCAACACUUUGGGAGUCCGAGGCAAGCAAAAUCACCUGAGGUCAGGAGUUCAAGACCAGUCUGGCCAACUUGGUGAAACCCCAUCUCUACAAAAAUACAGAAAUUAGCCGUGCA
RNAcentral lists this long non-coding RNA (7032 nucleotides) under Homo sapiens (human). Its description in RNAcentral is "non-protein coding LINC02125:7". Lineage: Eukaryota; Metazoa; Chordata; Mammalia; Primates; Hominidae. The record is from RNAcentral.